AGAGUUUUGCUCCUGUUGCCUAGACUGGAGCGCAAUGGCGCGCUAUCAGCUCACUGCAACCUCCGCCUCCUGGGUUCAAGUGAUUCUCCUGCCUCAACCUCCCAAAUGCGGUAAUAGAGGCUGGAGAGGGUAUGUAAUUUUGCUGAUGUCAUGAAGCUAGACUCAGACCCUCUCUGAAAGUAGAGGCUCCAGGAACAAAAUUUGAUGUCUUCUUUCCAUCCUGGGAAUGGACAUAAUGAUAGUCGGAGGUCUGUGUUUUAUGCCAAUGAAAAGUGGGAAUUUUUAGACCCAACCCCUAAGGACCUAGAGGAGUCCAUAGUACAGGAAGAAAAGAAGGAGCCAACCCCUGAAGGAAACAAAGUUUCACAAAGGCUGAAAAAUUUGCCUCAUACUUCCCUCAAAGCCAAACAGUUGCUUCAAACUUCAUCUACAAAUAGAGGAUUUGUACCUCAAUUGAUGGAAUAUUGGUAAUUCUUCUACUCCAUUUGAAGAUGAAAAAUAAAGGCCAAAAUCAUAGGCCUGGCACAGAAGCUGGAUAAUGAAGACAGCUCCGGAGGAACACAUAGAUACACACACAUAUAGACACACACAUAUAUAAAGUACACAGACAUAUUAUUUUUAAAGUUUAUUUUUUAAAGUUUUAAAGUUUCUAAAAUGAAAGCUGGCCCUGCCUCUCUCCCAGAGUGAGCGGAGACAGCGGUUGCAUGAGCAGCUUUCCUUGUGAGGCCACAGGUCCCUCUGGACACGCUGCUGCCUGACCAUGCCUCCUUUCCCUUUCAGCUUUCUCAUAGACCAAUGGGCUUGGAGCAUUAAGGCCAUACCCCUAUUAUGCAUUCUAGUGCGACCUUGUUUACACCUCCCCUGGCUCAGUCACACAGCUGUGUGGUAGGCUACUAGAAGUGUUUAGUAGUUGUCACUGGGAUCAUGC
This 928-nucleotide long non-coding RNA is filed under the name Homo sapiens (human). Its description in RNAcentral is "non-protein coding lnc-DEPDC4-2:5". Lineage: Eukaryota; Metazoa; Chordata; Mammalia; Primates; Hominidae. The record is from RNAcentral.